Molecule: non-coding RNA, 46 nt
Organism: Schistosoma curassoni
Lineage: Eukaryota; Metazoa; Platyhelminthes; Trematoda; Strigeidida; Schistosomatidae
Source: Rfam
GCACUGCUGAAGAGUCCGAAAAUAGGACGAAACGGCCGUCCAGUGC